This is a long non-coding RNA of Eriocheir sinensis (Chinese mitten crab), 4048 nucleotides long. RefSeq lists it as uncharacterized. NCBI's taxonomy places the organism in Eukaryota, Metazoa, Arthropoda, Malacostraca, Decapoda, Varunidae. The transcript has 2 exons. The record is from RefSeq and is a predicted model, not a curated record.
GAUGGGGUGAGACAGAGAAGUAUUGGGGUGAAAGGGUGUAUUAUGCAUGGGUAGGUUAGGUAGAUAGGUAGGUAGGUAGAUGGAGAGAUGGAGUGCUGGGCUGAGACAGAGAAUUGGGGUGGAAGGCUGUGUUAUGCAUGGGUGGGUUAGGGAGAAUGGAGGGAGUGUAGGGGGAGCGGCGGUAAACAAUGCAGGGCCGUGAGACGUACAAUGAGCGUCUGCCAGGUGUGAAAAGCAGGCAACGGAGCAAAGGCCGCAGCUGGACCGUAGUGAGUGACGCAGGGAGGCAGCUUAGCGCGGAGGGCGAGGACAGGUGAUGCGUGGACGCGUGGUGACGGGAGGCAGCAGGUAAGCAGGUAAGCGGAAGUACUAAAUAAUGGUAGCGGAGAGGCUCUGACCACAUACCUGGUGAUUUAGUUUAGGCCAAAUAGCACUAAAGGAAACAGGACGGAAAAAUUAUACACACUGAUAUAAUAACGGUAUAAUGGGCAGCCUCAAAUCUGACUUAACCCGGUAGCAGCAACGGGCCAAAUUUGUGGCUUUACCGUGUACCAGCGACGGGCCACAUUUCUGCCAUGAUAUAAGCCCCCAAAAAUAGAUGAUGCAUAAACUGAUCACAAAUGCGUUGAUAUAUAUUAUGAAAUGGUUUGCGUGAGUGAUGAUUUUUUCUCAUUUUUCUCGCUUAGAGGAGCCUUUAAGAAACAUGAUCCCUGCAGCUACCAGGUUAAAGCCACAAUGUAGACAAAGAUCAACAGCAGACACGUGAAAGAAACGAAAGUGAAGGUUUGAGGCGUCCGGAGAAGGGGCGUAAGGGACGAAGACAUUUUUUUCUAGCUCGCACUGGGAAAGACAACACAGGCUACACAUCUCGGGAAAAAAAACCCAAGUUGCAAGAGAAAAGCGACCCUCGGUACAACAACUACAAGGUCGCUUUUCCCCCUGCAGCUUGUUUCCUGUUCUUCCCGCGAUGUGUAUCCUGCCUCUCCCAGUGCAAACUAGAAAAAAAUGGCUUUGUCCCUUACACCCCUUCUCCGGACACCUCGUUUAGCAUCAAUGGUGUAGUAAGCAGGCGCCUAUCUAGCUAAGUAAAGGCUACGGCAUAAGAGCUAAGUAAAGGCUAUGGCAUAAGAGUUAAGUAAGGGCUAUGGCAUAAGAGUUAAGUAAGGGCUAUGGCAUAAGAGUUAAGUAAGGGCUAUGGCAUAAGAGUUAAGUAAAGGCUACGGCAUAAGAGUUAAGUAAGGGCUAUGGCAUAAGAGUUAAGUAAAGGCUACGGCAUAAGAGUUAAGUAAAGGCUACGGCAUAAGAGUUAAGUAAGGGCUAUGGCAUAAGAGUUAAGUAAAGGCUACGGCAUAAGAGUUAAGUAAAGGCUACGGCAUAAGGAAAAAGCAAAGACGUCACCAGUAUAAAUAGGCUCUACUUAACAGCGGGGCACAAUAAAAACAUGAACUGAAGCCUCAACAAGAGUAACAUUAGCAAGAGUUAACGAAUAUCUUCUGUCAUCUCUCCUACUGGUAAACUCUGCAACAGCCUCUCGUCUCCUCUAUUUCUUUCUUCCUGCGACUCACGGGGUAAUCUUUAGAAAACCCUGCAACUAAAUCUGAUCAUUUUCUUUCGAUAUCUCGGUUAUACUAAUAGAAUAGGAUUUAUAAGACACAGGAUACAGGACGAUAACAAAAAGGCUGACAACGCGCUGACCCAACACUAACUAAGCCGAGGAAGACGCAAAAUGAGAAAGAGAAAUUUUCGUAGGCAGUUUUUUCGUUAUAUUUUUUCAGCACUUAGUUUGCCGACUUGAUCGAACACAAACUCCACAGUAGCAAGAUCUUUUAAAUCGCACGACAGACGGCAGAGUGGCUGCACUAAUGGAGAGGUCUUGAGCAAGCAAUUAUACUUAUUAAGACCUUGGACUGCCACCUUGACCGAACACAAAAUCCACAGUAGCAGAAUCUUAUAUCACACGACAAAUGGCAGAGUAGCUGUACUAAUGGAAAGGUCCUGAGCAGGCACCAUAACAAGCCGUAGUGCGUGGCGUGGCGACAUGUCUGGCGGUGGCUCGGGGCCCAGAGACGCGGAAUAGCUACGGUUAGUGCUGCUUAUUAACUCGGGAACCAACACAGAACGACCGUGAGUAGGGGACGCCGGGAGUAAUAAUUAACAGGUGUAGCAAGCAAAACACGAAGGUAAGAGCUUAAGAUCAAGCAGACACGGAACUUUACACGCAGAAGAAGCAUAAAAGUGUGGAAAAAGAACUGAAUGUAAGGACGAUGUGCGAUAUCAACCAAUUAACCAACAGGAAAGAAAUAACAUCAAAACAAGAAGGCAAGAAUUUAAGAUCAAGCAGAUACGAAACUUUUAACACAUGAAGAAGCAUAAAAGCGAGGAAAAGAACUGAAUGUAAGGACGAUAUGAAACGCAAAACCAAUCAACUUAGCAAUAGGAAAGAAUACACAUCCGAAAGAGAAGGUAAGAAUUUAAGAUGAAGCAGACACCAAACUUUUAACACACGAAGAAGCAUAAAAGCGAGGAAAAGAAUUAAAUGUAAGGACGACGGGAUAAGCAAAACCAACUAACCAAUAGGAAAGAAAUAGCAUCAGAACAAGAGGGUAAAAAUUUAAGAUCAAGCAGAACCGAAACUUUUAACACACAAAGAAGCAGAAAAGCGAGGAAAAGAACUGAAUGUAAGGACGAUAUGAAACGCAAAACCAAUCAACUUAGCAAUAUAGGAAAGAAUACACAUCCGAAAGGGAAGGUAAGAAUUUAAGAUGAAGCAGACACCAAACUUUUAACACACGAAGAAGCAUAAAAGCGAGGAAAAGAAUUAAAUGUAAGGACGAUGGGAUAAGCAAAACCAACUAACCAAUAGGAAAGAAAUAGCAUCAGAACAAGAAGGUAAGAAUUUAAGAUCAAGGAUACGAAACUUUUAACAGGCGAUGCAAAAAGCGAAGAAAAAGAACUGGAUGAAUGUAAGGACGAUAUGAAACGCAAAACAAUAUGAUUUUUUUUAAGAAUACACAUCCGAGAAGGUAAGAAUUUAAGAUCAAGCAGACACCGAACUUUUAACACACGAAGAAGCAAGAAACGAGGAAGUUAACUGAAUGCAAGAACGAUGUGAUAAGCAAAACCAACUAACCAAUAGGAAAGAAAUAGCAUCAGAACAAGAAGGUAAGAUAAGACGAAGAGAACACGAAACUUGCCACACGAAGAAGCAUAAAAGCGAGGAAAAAGAACUGAAUGUAAAGACGAAGGGAUAAGCAAAACAAUGGAAAUAAGAGUACACUAAAAAAAAUAAGGUAAGAAUUUACGAUCAAGUAUACACAAAACUAAACACACGAGGAAGGAAAAGGCGAAGAAAAGUGAAUAUAGGAAUGAUGAGAAAAGCAAAACCAACCAAGAGCAAAGAAACAACACCCAAAGAGACUGAACAGCGAAGCAAAACAUCAGGGAACAACAACCGAACGUUCGAAGGCUGUGGCAAGCAGAGUGAAGCAACCAACCAGCCACUGCUAAGGUAACCAACCCGACGGAAGACAGGUGAACCGGUGACCAUGAUGGAUCGAGAAGAAACCAACAUGUGAAAGAAAGACGCGCGUGAGAGCAGGAACCAUGAAUUAAGAGAAAAUAAGAAAGAUCGCAGGAAAGACUAACAAAUUCACCCCAAGGAAGAAAGAUAAACAGGUGAUCAUGAUGGAUCGAGAAGAAACCAACAUGUGAAAGAAAGACACGCGUGAGAGCAAGAACCAUGAAUUAAGAGAAAAUAAGAAAGAUCGCAGGAAAGACUAACAAAUUCACCCCAAGGAAGAAAGAUAAACAGGUGAUCAUGAUGGAUGGAGAAGAAACCAACAUGUGAAAGAAAGACACGCGUGAGAGCAAGAACCAUGAAUUAAGAGAAAAUAAGAAAGAUCGCAGGAAAGACUAACAAAUUCACCCCACGGAAGAAAGAUAAACAGGUGAUCAUGAUGGAUGGAGAAGAAACUAACAUGUAAAAGAGACACGUAAGAGAGCAAGAGCCAUGAAUUAUAAGAGAAUAUAAGAAAGAUCGUAGGAAAAA